RNAcentral lists this ribosomal RNA (468 nucleotides) under uncultured bacterium. Its description in RNAcentral is "partial 16S ribosomal RNA". It matches the Rfam family "Bacterial small subunit ribosomal RNA", at positions 28 to 507 of the family's 1533-position model. The record is from RNAcentral.
GACGAACGCUGGCGGCGUGCUUAACACAUGCAAGUCGAACGGAAAGGCCCUGCUUUUGUGGGGUGCUCGAUUGGCGAACGGGUGAGUAACACGUGAGUAACCUGCCCUUGACUUUGGGAUAACUUCAGGAAACUGGGGCUAAUACCGGAUAGGAGCUCCUGCUGCAUGUUGGGGGUUAGAAAGUUUCGGCGGUUGGGGAUGGACUCGCGGCUUAUCAGCUUGUUGGUGGGGUAGUGGCUUACCAAGGCUUUGACGGGUAGCCGGCCUGAGAGGGUGACCGGCCACAUUGGGACUGAGAUACGGCCCAGACUCCUACGGGAGGCAGAAGUGGGGAAUAUUGCACAAUGGGCGGAAGCCUGAUGCAGCAACGCCGCGUGCGGGAUGACGGCCUUCGGGUUGUAAACCGCUUUCGCCUGUGACGAAGCGUGAGUGACGGUAAUGGGUAAAGAAGCACCGGCUAACUACGUG